This 460-nucleotide ribosomal RNA is filed under the name uncultured bacterium. Its description in RNAcentral is "partial 16S ribosomal RNA". It matches the Rfam family "Bacterial small subunit ribosomal RNA", at positions 338 to 795 of the family's 1533-position model. The record is from RNAcentral.
CCUACGGGUGGCAGCAGUGAGGAAUAUUGGUCAAUGGACGAGAGUCUGAACCAGCCAAGUAGCGUGAAGGAUGACUGCCCUAUGGGUUGUAAACUUCUUUUAUAAAGGAAUAAAACGCGGCACGUGUGCCUUUUUGCAUGUACUUUAUGAAUAAGGAUCGGCUAACUCCGUGCCAGCAGCCGCGGUAAUACGGAGGAUGCGAGCGUUAUCCGGAUUUAUUGGGUUUAAAGGGAGCGUAGAUGGGUUGUUAAGUCAGUUGUGAAAGUUUGCGGCUCAACCGUAAAAUUGCAAUUGAUACUGGCAGUCUUGAGUACACUUGAGGUAGGCGGAAUUCGUGGUGUAGCGGUGAAAUGCUUAGAUAUCACGAAGAACCCCGAUUGCGAAGACAGCUUACUAACCUGUGACUGACAUUGAUGCUCGAAAGUGUGGGGAUCAAACAGGAUUAGAUACCCUGGUAGUC